UAGGCAAUUUAGGCUAUGGCGCCUCUCUUCAAAAAGGCCCUCGCCCCUCGCCUAAGGCCAUAGGGUAACCUCUCACCUAAGUGUCGCAUUUCGCCUUAAUAACACCAUGUGAGACAACACACUUCCCUCAUGCCUAGGCAUAAGCAUCUAGAGUGUGAAGUUUGCAGGCAUGAUUUUUUGCGGGUGGAACAAUAUCGAGACAAUGGUUGACUUUGAUACCAUGUUAAAAUUUAGAAGGUUAGAAAAGAUAGGAAAAAAGUGGCAAGAGAAGGAUAUAUAUGGUUCAGCUAUGGAGAGCCUACAUCCACGGACUCUAAUAGAGACAAUUAUGUACUCAUAUAUUUUCAUUUUGUACAUUCUCAAGAUGUUCCAACUGUAUUUAUAUGUUACUUGCAAGAUUGAGGAAUUAAUUUAACUCUUUCCUCUCAUAAUAAAUGUUGUUGGGAGAUGGGAGACUUAUAAACUAUAGGAAUAAUUAAUUAUCUAAAUUUCACACAGUUUUCAUCAAGAAAGAAAUUUUCUGUAAGUGGACUGUUGAAAAGAUAUAAACAGGUGUUCCAAAUCAAUAUAACCUUAAUCAGAUAGCUAAAUGAACCAAACUUAGCUUAUUACAAAAACUAUUAGUUCCUUUUUAUAAAAAAACAAGGGGUGUCCCUCCAAAGUAUGCCCAACCAAUGCAAGUGAAAAGAGGAUUGAGCUUUUUAUUUUUUGUUGAAUAUUUAACUUCCUGUCAUAAAUAAACAAGGAAGUCAGCAAUUUUAAAUGCAUUUCCCUAAUAAAUAAAUUUUAUUGGUCAUUAAAAAAAAUGGAUUAAAGUCUCAUUUAUAUGUUAUAUACAAUUUACAUAAAAGAAAUUCAAAAAUAAAUGAUGAUUUGUGAAUAAUAUACAUACAAAUAUUUGGAAUGAAGUUGGCUCCUGGAAAAAUGUGAUUUGAAAGGUUUGCUUUAAACUGUACCAUAAAUUAUGGUGUUUUGUGCAUUGCAUGUUUACUUCUGGGGGUCUACAUAUUUACUUGCAAUGGUCAGGUAUAUCAGUUUCACUUCUAUUCAAAAUUUUGAUGGCUUGUGUAGUUAGUGUUUUAACAUCAAUUUCAAUAAGUAUCCUUGCAUCUUUUUAGAAAUGUUGUAAGUAUUGCUAAAAUGAUUACGCAGUGCCUAAUGAUAAGGAGGGAUCGUUUGGCAACCCUUGCAUUCCCAAAGGAUAUGAGCUGGCAUCCAAUGCAAGUGAUGCCAAACUUCUCUUAUCGCAUCCAGCUGGAAACUUUACUGCCUGCAGACUUGAAGCUUUGGCAUUGUUGAAGAGUAGACAAGCAAAAUGCUUACAUUCGCCAUGUAAAAUUGUGCCAUCUUUGUUCUCGGAGCUACAAGGCAAGCAUGUUUCUCAAGAAACCUUGUUCUAUACUUCUGAGUUCUUUGGCCUGGCUCCUAGGACUACUUUGUUUGAAUUGGAGGCAGUUGGGCAACAUUACUGUGAAAAUGAUUGGGAUGAACUGAGAAGUCAACAUCAUGGCAUUGAUGAUAUGGAUUUGUUGAGAUAUUGUUUUUCUUCUGCAUACAUGGUAGCACUGUUGCAUGACAGCCUUGGAAUUCCAAUGAAUGAUAAAAGAAUUGGUUUUGCAAAUUAUACUGGAAGCUUUCAUCUUGACUGGAGUCUUGGAGCUUUUAUCCUGCAAUCCAUGCUGGAGCCCCUUGACAUGGAAAUUGAUAACCUUGACCAAAUUGUUGGAAACGAGUCAGUGACAUACUUCUCAUUGUUUGCUUUUCUUCUAAUAGUUUUGCUUGCUGUAUUUUUCCUACUACAAUGGCGAAAACCACAGUUGAAAACAGUAUAUGAUCUAGAAAAAGGGCACUAUAUUGUCACACGGGUGCCCAGGUGAUUGUCACCCAACCAUUUUGUUCUUGUGAGAAUAAUAUAUGUGCAUUCUGUUGUAUUUUUAUGGAUUCAAGUCACACGUAGGGAGAUUUUUAUCUUUUAUUUUAGGAAAAAAGUGAAUUCAUUUAAUAAUUAGUUGAAUCAAGUUCUUCAUUUAUAAAGGAUGACUCUUCAAUCCACAUCCCACAUUGGAGGCGUACACAGGUGGAUUGG
Molecule: unclassified non-coding RNA, 2086 nt
Filed under: Hevea brasiliensis (rubber tree)
Lineage: Eukaryota; Viridiplantae; Streptophyta; Magnoliopsida; Malpighiales; Euphorbiaceae
Source: RNAcentral